CAAUAGCGUAUAUUAAAGUUGUUGCAGUUAAAAAGCUCGUAGUUGGAUUUCUGGUAGGAGUGACCGUUCCGAACUUGAUUGUUCGUGUAUUGUGUUUUCUCCAGCCAUCCUUGUGGAGAACUUUUCUUGCAUUAAUUUGUAGGGAUUGGGACCCGCAUCGUUUACUGUGAACAAAUUAGAGUGUUUAAAGCAGGCAAUCGCUUGAAUACAUUAGCAUGGAAUAAUAAGAUAGGACUUUGGUACUAUUUUGUUGGUUUGCAUACCAAAUUAAUGAUCAACAGGAACAGUUUGAGGAUAUUCGUAUGAACAUGUCAGAGGUGAAAUUCUUGGAUUUUGAUCAGACGAACUACUGCGAAAGCAUUUAUCAAGGAUGUUUUCAUUAA
This 383-nucleotide ribosomal RNA is filed under the name uncultured eukaryote. RNAcentral describes it as "partial 18S ribosomal RNA". It matches the Rfam family "Eukaryotic small subunit ribosomal RNA", at positions 592 to 976 of the family's 1831-position model. The record is from RNAcentral.